AAUAGAUACCCGGGUAGUCCACGCCGUAAACGAUGAGUGCUAAGUGUUAGAGGGUUUCCGCCCUUUAGUGCUGCAGCUAACGCAUUAAGCACUCCGCCUGGGGAGUACGGCCGCAAGGCUGAAACUCAAAGGAAUUGACGGGGGCCCGCACAAGCGGUGGAGCAUGUGGUUUAAUUCGAAGCAACGCGAAGAACCUUACCAGGUCUUGACAUCCUCUGACAACCCUAGAGAUAGGGCUUUCCCCUUCGGGGGACAGAGUGACAGGUGGUGCAUGGUUGUCGUCAGCUCGUGUCGUGAGAUGUUGGGUUAAGUCCCGCAACGAGCGCAACCCUUGAUCUUAGUUGCCAGCAUUCAGUUGGGCACUCUAAGGCGACUGCCGGUGACAAACCGGAGGAAGGUGGGGAUGACGUCAAAUCAUCAUGCCCCUUAUGACCUGGGCUACACACGUGCUACAAUGGAUGGUACAAAGGGCUGCAAACCUGCGAAGGUAAGCGAAUCCCAUAAAGCCAUUCUCAGUUCGGAUUGCAGG
This 529-nucleotide ribosomal RNA is filed under the name uncultured bacterium. RNAcentral describes it as "bacterial SSU rRNA". It matches the Rfam family "Bacterial small subunit ribosomal RNA", at positions 777 to 1304 of the family's 1533-position model. The record is from RNAcentral.